This is a long non-coding RNA of Cyprinus carpio (common carp), 2013 nucleotides long. The record is from Ensembl. Lineage: Eukaryota; Metazoa; Chordata; Actinopteri; Cypriniformes; Cyprinidae.
AUGGCUACAGUUGGCAGAGGACGUGCUGGUGCUGUUGUUGUGGUGGUGGUUGUAGUUGGAGUUGUUGUUGUUGUUGUGGUGGUUGUAGUUGGAGUUGUUGUUGUGGUGGUGGUUGUAGUUGGAGUUGUUGAUGUUGUGGUUGUUGUAGUUGGAGUUGUUGUGGUGGUGGUUGUUGUUGUUGUUGCUUUUGUUGUUAUAGUAGGGCUGGUGGUAGUUGUAUUAGGUUUGGCUGUUGUUGUGGUGGCGGUUGUUGUUGUAUUAGGUGUGGUUGUGGUGGUGGUGGUUGUUGUAUUAAGGUUGGCUGUUGUUGUUGUAUUGGGUGUGGUUGUUGUGGUGGUGGUGGUUGUUGUAUUAGGUGUGGUUGUUGUUGUAUUAAGGUUGUCUGUUGUUGUUAUUGUAUUAGGUGUGGUGGCGAUUGUUGUGUUAGGUGUGGUUGUUGUUGUGGUGGCGAUUGUUGUUGAAUUAGGUGUGGUUGUGGCGGCUGUUGUUGUUGUAUUAGGUGUGGUUGUGGUUGUGGCGGCGGUUGUUGUUGUUGUGGUGGUGGUUGUUGUUGUAUUAGGUGUGGUUGUUGUGGUGGCGGUUGUUGUUGUAUUAGGUGUGGUUGUGGUGGUGGUUGUUGUUGUGUUAGGUGUGGUUGUGGUUGUUGUUGUAAUAGGUGUGGUUGUGUUUGUGGUAGAUGUGGUUGUUGUUGUGGUGGCGAUUGUUGUUGUAUUAGGUGUGGUUGUGGUGGCGGUUGUUGUUGUGUUAGGUGUGGUUGUUGUUGUGGUGGCGAUUGUUGUUGUAUUAGGUGUGGUUGUGGUGGCUGUUGUUGUUGUAUUAGGUGUGGUUGUGGUUGUGGCGGCGGUUGUUGUUGUAUUAGGUGUGGUUGGUGUUGUGGUGGCGGUUGUUGUUGUGUUAGGUAUGGUUGUGGUUGUGGUGGCGGUUGUUGUUGUAAUAGGUGUGGUUGUGUUUGUGGUAGGUGUGGUUGUUGUUGUGGUGGCGAUUGUUGUUGUAUUAGGUGUGGUUGUUGUUGUGGUGGCAGUUGUUGUUGUGUUAGGUGUGGUUGCUGUUGUGGUGGCGAUUGUUGUUGUAUUAGGUGUGGUUGUGGCGACUGUUGUUGUUGUAUUAGGUGUGGUUGUGGUUGUGGCGGCGGUUGUGGUUGUAGUAGGGGUGGUUGUGGUGGCGGUUGUUGUGGUAUUAGGUGUGGUUGUGGCGACUGUUGUUGUUGUAUUAGGUGUGGUUGUGGUGGCGGUUGUUGUUGUAUUAGGUGUGGUUGGUGUUGUUGUGGCGGUUGUUGUUGUAUUAGGUGUGGUUGUGGUGGCGGUUGUUGUUGUAUUAGGUGUGGUUGGUGUUGUUGUGGCAGUUGUUGUUGUAUUAGGUGUGGUUGUGGUGGCGGUUGUUGUUUUGUCGGGUGUGGUUGUGGUGCCGGUUGUUGUUGUAUUAGGUGUGGUGGCGGUUGUUGUUGUGUCGGGUGUGGUUGUGGUUGUGGUGGCGGUUGUUGUUGUGUCAGGUGCGGUUGUGGUUGUGGUGGCGGUUGUUGUGGUGUCGGGUGUGGUGGCGGUUGUUGUUGUAUUAGGUGUGGUUGUUGUUGUGGUGGCAGUUGUUGUUGUGUUAGGUGUGGUUGCUGUUGUGGUGGCGAUUGUUGUUGUAUUAGGUGUGGUUGUUGUUGUGGUGGCGAUUGUUGUUGAAUUAGGUGUGGUUGUGGCGGCUGUUGUUGUUGUAUUAGGUGUGGUUGUGGUGGCGGUUGUUUUUGUGUCAGGUGUGGUGGCGGUUGUUGUGUUGGGUGUGGUUGUGGUGCCGGUUGUUGUUGUAUUAGGUGUGGUUGUGGUGGCGGUUGUUGUUGUGUCGGGUGUGGUGGCGGUUGUUGUGUCAGGUGUGGUUGUGGUGCCGGUUGUAAUAGGUGUGGUUGUGGUAGGUGUGGUUAUAGGUGUUGUGGUGCUGGUUGUGGUGAUGGGCUCCGUUUCUGUUGUGCGAGUUUCGAUGAUUUGUAGAAAUUGGGGGGGGGGUAAAGGAUUAAAAAAAAAAACAGUUUAA